GACGAACGCUGGCGGCGUGCUUAACACAUGCAAGUCGAACGGAAAGGCCCUGCUUUUGUGGGGUGCUCGAGUGGCGAACGGGUGAGUAACAAGUGAGUAACCUGCCCUUGACUUUGGGAUAACUUCAGGAAACUGGGGCUAAUACCGGAUAGGAGCUCCUGCUGCAUGGUGGGGGUUGGAAAGUUUCGGCGGUUGGGGAUGGACUCGCGGCUUAUCAGCUUGUUGGUGGGGUAGUGGCUUACCAAGGCUUUGACGGGUAGCCGGCCUGAGAGGGUGACCGGCAACAUUGGGACUGAGAUACGGCCCAGACUCCUACGGGAGGCAGCAGUGGGGAAUAUUGCACAAUGGGCGGAAGCCUGAUGCAGCAACGCCGCGUGCGGGAUGACGGCCUUCGGGUUGUAAACCGCUUUCGCCUGUGACGAAGCGUGAGUGACGGUAAUGGGUAAAGAAGCACCGGCUAACUACGUG
Molecule: ribosomal RNA, 468 nt
Filed under: uncultured bacterium
Lineage: Bacteria
Description: partial 16S ribosomal RNA
Rfam family: Bacterial small subunit ribosomal RNA
Source: RNAcentral